GCGUCCGUAGCUCAAUUGGACAGAGCACCAUUUUGACGAAGUGGGGGAUGAGGGUUCGAAUCCCUCCGGGCGCG
This is a transfer RNA of 74 nucleotides. It matches the Rfam family "tRNA". Rfam says of the family: Transfer RNA (tRNA) molecules are approximately 80 nucleotides in length. Their secondary structure includes four short double-helical elements and three loops (D, anti-codon, and T loops). Further hydrogen bonds mediate the characteristic L-shaped molecular structure. tRNAs have two regions of fundamental functional importance: the anti-codon, which is responsible for specific mRNA codon recognition, and the 3' end, to which the tRNAs corresponding amino acid is attached (by aminoacyl-tRNA synthetases). tRNAs cope with the degeneracy of the genetic code in two manners: having more than one tRNA (with a specific anti-codon) for a particular amino acid; and 'wobble' base-pairing, i.e. permitting non-standard base-pairing at the 3rd anti-codon position.